Molecule: long non-coding RNA, 1301 nt
Organism: Rosa chinensis
Lineage: Eukaryota; Viridiplantae; Streptophyta; Magnoliopsida; Rosales; Rosaceae
Exons: 2
Source: RefSeq, a predicted model, not a curated record
GUUUGUUUUUGGGUUGAAUUAUUCCUAAAGAAUAGUUAUUUAUAUGUUAAUGUUUUGACUAUACUUCUAGUAGUGGCCGUGUUCUGCAUUUGUAAAUAAACAUAUGGUUUGUAAUUGACUAGUACAUGUGGUUUGUUUAGUAGACUUAUUGGGUCUCUGUGAUUUAAUUUACAUGUUAAUAACUUAAUAUAGCUUGUCAGCUGAACUUAGAUUUUCAUUGGAUUUAUAAGAACACUAUUCAAUUCCUCCUGUAUACUGCUUCAAUAUAAUCCCAAAAUACAUGGUAGGCGCUAGGCACUAGGCAUAGUAAGUGCCUAAGUGGGGUGGAAAAAAGGGCAUGGGGUUACCAACCCAUCUGUCAUUCCUAAUUCUUGGCCAGUUGGAGUGGAAAUGAAAUGGAAGUUAAUAAUCAAUAGAGAAUGUGCUAAAGUGAGUAGGGCUUGAAAAAGACUAAAUGCGACGUAAUGAUUUUCUAUUGAGGUUGAAAGAAAUCUGAAUGUCUUCUAUUGAUCAAGUCCCUGAAGUUCUGUGGUGUACAUAAGUUAAUGACCCUACAUGUAGUUCUGUGGUAUAUGACAAUUGUGGACCUUGGAAUCCAUCUGGUGCUGGAACUCUAGGAAUGUGGAGAGUAUAUCAUCAUUUGUAGUGUUAACAAGAACCAAAAGGAAAGUGAAUACUAAUAUAAGGCAAAUGGAUUUCAUGCAGUGUUUGAAAACCGUUCCUAAAGUGAAUGGUAAAUAGACUUGUUUCUCUCAGCUGGAAAACAUAUUAUGCAGCGUUCUUUGUCUGACAAUGCUCUUACCAGUUACUAAAGAAAGAGAUUUUUGCUCUCAAGAACUUGAAUUGGAACAGAAUCUGCUUUCAUUUUUGUGAAUCAGGUACGGCUUCAUGUUUGGAAGAGAAUCUGCUCGCAAAGAUCUCGGAAGCUUAAUCCAAGACCUUCACCGCCAGAAUCCCAAUUCCGAUCCUCAUUCCUGACUUCAUUCGGCUGAUGGCAUCAGGUGGGCAGUGUGGAAAUCCCUUCAUUUGUUAAAGCUUGAGAAAACAUUGUCUUUAAGGCCUUACUGGAAAACUCCUUCAGCCAUCUUUGGUUGUUUUCAGGUCAUCUUACCUAUCCUCAAGAGUGUGCGUUCCUGAGGAGUUUAGAUAUUAACUUUAAAACCUUUGUAUGCUGACUUGCAUUGAAGAUGCAGCUUUCUGCUGUGACAUAGUUGUUAUUCAAGAUGACUGAAUUAGAUAAUGUAGUUGGUGUUGAAUCAUACGCUUUGGUGUUUCAAAUUAAUGAAGAAGCAUUCUGUGAA